AACACUGUUAACCUGCGGUACCUGCGGAGGGAUCAUUACCGUGCCGUUCGGGGACGGUUCCGGGGGCCGCUCCGGCCCCGGGGACUCGCCCCGACGUAGGUCUUCACCCGUGUCUACUUGACCCAUGUCUGUUGCUUCGGCGGGAAAGACGGUGCUGAGAUCAUCAUCGCUCCUCUCGGGUCCAGGAUUAAUAGAGAAUUGCUGGAUUAUUUUCUGGGGGGACAGUAACCGGCGCCCGCC
This 240-nucleotide unclassified non-coding RNA is filed under the name soil metagenome. Its description in RNAcentral is "partial contains 5.8S ribosomal RNA, internal transcribed spacer 2, and large subunit ribosomal RNA". The record is from RNAcentral.